CCUACGGGUGGCAGCAGUGAGGAAUAUUGGUCAAUGGACGAGAGUCUGAACCAGCCAAGUAGCGUGAAGGAUGACUGCCCUAUGGGUUGUAAACUUCUUUUAUAAAGGAAUAAAACGAGGCACGUGUGCCUUUUUGCAUGUACUCUAUGAAUAAGGAUCGGCUAACUCCGUGCCAGCAGCCGCGGUAAUACGGUGGAUCCGAGCGUUAUCCGGAUUCAUUGGGUUUAAAGGUAGCGUAGAUGGGUUGUUAAGUCAGUUGUGAAAGGUUGCGGCUCAACCGUAAAAUUGCAAUUGAUACUGGCAGACUUGAGUACAGUUGAGGUAGGCGGAAUUCGUGGUGUAGCAGUGAAAUGCUUAGAUAUCACGAAGAACCCCGGUUGCGAAGGCAGGUUACUAAACUGUGACUGACAUUGAUGCUCGAAGGUGAGGGUAUCAAACGGGAUUAGAUACCCUAGUAGUC
Molecule: ribosomal RNA, 460 nt
Filed under: uncultured bacterium
Lineage: Bacteria
Description: partial 16S ribosomal RNA
Rfam family: Bacterial small subunit ribosomal RNA
Source: RNAcentral